Molecule: long non-coding RNA, 505 nt
Filed under: Rattus norvegicus (Norway rat)
Lineage: Eukaryota; Metazoa; Chordata; Mammalia; Rodentia; Muridae
Description: long non-coding RNA NONRATT032181
Source: RNAcentral
GCGAGACUCCCCUGAAGGUGGGUUCACCAUCUUCGCAGCGGGGUGUGAAAGCCAGUUCAGCUCCUGAACCCCACAAUUGUUCAACAGCCUUUCGGAGCCUGAUCGGUUUCCGAAGACAGAAUCUGGACGACUAGGACAUUUUCUUUCGAGACUCCUCCAGCAGAGGUGAAGUCAGACAUUAACAGUGACAUCUUAUCAGGUCAAUGUUUGCAGUACACCAGAAGCGACGGGUCCAAAAAGAUCGGCAACAUCAUUUACAAAGUUCUAGCCAAGCCUUCCAUGUACUUCAUCAAGUUUGAUGUUGAUGUCCACAUCUACAUUUAUAAUCUGGUAGAAAAGAUCUGUUAAGGUGAAAUUCACAAAGUGAGGGUGGACGUAGAUGGGUAAUUUAUAGGAUUGGGGGGAAAAUGUUUGUUUUUCUGUGUCAGAUACACAAGGGCCUUUGACAACUCCAGUAUCUUUUCCAGUGGAAUUUGUUUUUGCUCUAAAAAAUAAAAUGUGCGAU